GGUGGCGUUCAUACCUGCACUACAGCACCGAAUUCCAUCAGAAC
This 44-nucleotide ribosomal RNA is filed under the name Melampodium argophyllum. The record is from RNAcentral. Lineage: Eukaryota; Viridiplantae; Streptophyta; Magnoliopsida; Asterales; Asteraceae.